GCGCACCAGGCGCGAAUCCUUCGCAAUGCGGGAAACCGCGACGAGGGACUCCCAGUGCCUACGCUCAGCGUAGGCUGUUCCCGAGCCUAGAAAGCUCGGGGAGUAAGGGCUGGGUAAGACGGGUGCCAGCCGCCGCGGUAAUACCCGCAGCCCGAGUGGUGGCCACUAUUAUUGGGCCUAAAGCGUCCGUAGCCGGCCCGGUAAAUGCCUGGGUAAAUCGUGAGGCCUAACCUCACGAAUUCCGGGUAGACUGCCGGGGCUAGGGACCGGAGGAGGGAGAGGGUACUCCAGGGGUAGGGGUGAGAUCCUGUAAUCCCUGGAGGACCACCGGUGGCGAAGGCGCUCUCCUAGGACGGGUCCGACGGUGAGGGACGAAAGCCAGGGGAGCGAACCGGAUUAGAUACCCGUGUAGU
This 413-nucleotide ribosomal RNA is filed under the name uncultured microorganism. Its description in RNAcentral is "bacterial SSU rRNA". It matches the Rfam family "Archaeal small subunit ribosomal RNA", at positions 330 to 745 of the family's 1478-position model. The record is from RNAcentral.